Molecule: ribosomal RNA, 556 nt
Filed under: Oscillatoria angusta ISB38
Lineage: Bacteria; Bacillati; Cyanobacteriota; Cyanophyceae; Oscillatoriales; Oscillatoriaceae
Description: bacterial SSU rRNA
Rfam family: Bacterial small subunit ribosomal RNA
Source: RNAcentral
ACGGGUGAGUAACACGUGAGAAUCUGCCCUCAAGACGGGGACAACAGCGGGAAACUGCUGCUAAUCCCCGAUAAGCCUACGGGUGAAAAGAAAUUCGCUUGAGGAGGAGCUCGCGUCCGAUUAGCUAGUUGGUGGGGUAAAAGCUUACCAAGGCGACGAUCGGUAGCCGGUCUGAGAGGACGAUCGGCCACACUGGGACUGAGACACGGCCCAGACUCCUACGGGAGGCAGCAGUGGGGAAUUUUCCGCAAUGGGCGAAAGCCUGACGGAGCAAGACCGCGUGCGGGAGGAAGGCCUUUGGGUCGUAAACCGCUUUUCUCAGGGAAGAAGACCUGACGGUACCUGAGGAAUAAGCCUCGGCUAACUCCGUGCCAGCAGCCGCGGUAAUACGGAGGAGGCAAGCGUUAUCCGGAAUUAUUGGGCGUAAAGCGUCCGCAGGUGGCUGUUCAAGUCUGCUGUCAAAGCCCGAAGCUCAACUUCGGAGAGGCAGUGGAAACUGGGCGGCUAGAGAUCGGUAGGGGUAGAGGGAAUUCCCAGUGUAGCGGUGAAAUGCGUA